This 623-nucleotide ribosomal RNA is filed under the name uncultured bacterium. RNAcentral describes it as "bacterial SSU rRNA". It matches the Rfam family "Bacterial small subunit ribosomal RNA", at positions 868 to 1493 of the family's 1533-position model. The record is from RNAcentral.
UCCGCCUGGGGAGUACGGUCGCAAGAUUAAAACUCAAAGGAAUUGACGGGGACCCGCCCAAGUAGCGGAGCAUGUGGUUUAAUUCGAAGCAACGCGAAGAACCUUACCUACACUUGACAUCCCUUGCAUUACUCUUAAUCGAGGAAAUCCCUUCGGGGACAAGGUGACAGGUGGUGCAUGGUUGUCGUCAGCUCGUGUCGUGAGAUGUUGGGUUAAGUCCCGCAACGAGCGCAACCCUUGUCGUUAGUUACUACCAUUAAGUUGAGGACUCUAGCGAGACUGCCUGGGUUAACCAGGAGGAAGGUGGGGAUGACGUCAAAUCAUCAUGCCCCUUAUGUGUAGGGCUACACACGUGCUACAAUGGCUGGUACAGAGAGAUGCAAUACCGUGAGGUGGAGCCAAACUUUAAAACCAGUCUCAGCUCGGAUUGUAGGCUGAAACUCGCCUACAUGAAGCUGGAGUUACUAGUAAUCGCGAAUCAGAAUGUCGCGGUGAAUACGUUCCCGGGUCUUGUACACACCGCCCGUCACACCAUGAGAGUUGGCAAUACCCGAAGUCCGUGAGCUAACCGCAAGGAGGCAGCGGCCGAAGGUAGGGUCAGCGAUUGGGGUGAAGUCGUAACA